AUGUAUCCAAAGGGGUCUCCAAAGUAUAAUGUGAUGAAAGCAAGUGGGAGAAAAGCUUCACAUGGUGCCAAGAAGCCAUCACCCAAAAUUAAAAAGACACCUCCAAGAGUUAAAAAGCCAAGAGCUCAAUGGAACCCAGCUUUGGAGAAGGGUUUAGUGGAGAUACUUCAGGAGCACAACACUCCGUAUCAUCGAGGACAAAAUGGUUGGUCAACUGAAGCAUGGAAUAGGAUGGCGGAUUUGUUUCAUGAAAGAUAUGGUCACACAAAUUUUACAAAGUCACAGAUUCAGGAAAAACAGAAAGACUUGAAAGGUCAAUACAGACUUCUUAAGGAUGCCCGCAAACAGAGUGGUGUCAGCUGGAACUAUCAUACACACAUGAUAGAUGCGGACGCUAAUCUUUGGCAAAACUUGAUGACUUCGUGGCCAGAAAUAGCUAAGGUCCAGAAUAAGCCGUUUCCCCUCUACGAUAAGCUUGGU
RNAcentral lists this ribosomal RNA (480 nucleotides) under Triticum aestivum (bread wheat). RNAcentral describes it as "partial small subunit ribosomal RNA". Lineage: Eukaryota; Viridiplantae; Streptophyta; Magnoliopsida; Poales; Poaceae. The record is from RNAcentral.